UGUAUUGGAGGUAGAUGCCAGCCAUGGAGGGCUGGGAGCCGUACUUUCUCAGGAGCAUGAUAAACUCAGGCCUAUUGCGUAUGCUAGUCGGGGUUUGAGACCCACCGAAAGAAACAUGGACAAUUAUAGUUCCAUGAAGCUUGAACUCUUGGCCGUGAAAUGGGCAGUAACAGAAAAGUUUAGAGAGUACCUGCUAGGGAGUAAUUUCGUCAUAUUUACUGACAAUAACCCUUUAAGCCAUCUUCAGACCGCAAAGUUGGGGGCGGUGGAACAGAGGUGGGCAUCCCAAUUGGCCUCAUUUAAUUUUACCAUCAAGUAUCGUCCGGGCCGUAGUAAUGGCAAUGCUGAUGCUUUGUCGAGACAGUAUCUGGAGAGAUUUGCAUCAGGGACAGACGUUCCACCUGUUUUGGUGGGACCGUUAUCCAAGGGGUCAGAGAAAGAGGUAGGGUGUAAUGAGGUUGUAGCACUGGCUGGGCGGUCUGUGGAGGACCUUUCCUCAUUACAAGAAAUGGACUCUGUGAUUGGUCCGGUGUUGGCGUUAUUUCGGUCAGGGGGUCAGCCUAGAUCUGAAGAGAGAGAGGCAAUGUCAGUGGGAAGUAAGGAACUGUUACGACACUGGGAACGGUUGGUAGAGAAGGGAGGGGCAUUAUACCGGGUAAUACGAUUACCAGGGGAAUGUAAGGAUACAUUUCAGGUUGUACUUCCCCAGUGUUUGCAAGAAGAGGUACUUCGAAGUGUACAUGAUGGCCAUGGCCAUCAAGGCAUUGAUCGUACUCUUCAGCUGGUUCGUAGCCGGUGUUUCUGGCCAGGUAUGACAAGGAGAGUGGAACAGUGGUGUCAACAAUGAGAAAGAUGUAUUCUAAAUAAGGCGGUGCAACCAAAGAUUCGGUCUUUUCAAGGUACAAUUCAAGCCUCCCGCCCUCAUGAGAUCCUGGCUAUAGAUUUCACCAUUUUAGAGCCAGCCAGCGAUGGUCGCGAAAAUAUUCUCGUUUUUACAGACGUUUUCUCUAAGUAUACUCAGGCAGUGGCAGAAUGGGAGGGGAAUUGGGAAGUAACUACCAAUCCCAGUACACAUUGCCUAUAGGAUGGUCCAAUUCAAAGGACAGGCAACAUGGAAGGGCAGCCGGGGUCCUUGCAGCAUCAGUUAGCCGUUUGGCUAGUAGCGUGUGGGACUGGGUGUCCUGUGAUGUACUCUUCCUUGAUGGAAGAACUGUUUGCCUGAUGGAAUAAAUUCAGGACCAUCAUGUUUUUUGUCUGAUUGUGCACCUUAAAGGUAUGGUUAUUCAUUUUGAGUUUGUUUGUUUGUGAUGUGGAUGGGACUGACACUCAUGAAAAAUACUCUAUUUUUGUUAUAGGGUGUUGGAUGUUGAUUGCUAGUCGCUGUUCUCUUAUAUGUUUUUUUUUUUUUUU
Pimephales promelas (fathead minnow) is the source of this 1410-nucleotide non-coding RNA. Lineage: Eukaryota; Metazoa; Chordata; Actinopteri; Cypriniformes; Leuciscidae. The record is from RefSeq and is a predicted model, not a curated record.